UAAAUAAUCGUGUAGUUAAUGUGGAGAGAUUUUGGGAAGAUUGUUAAAUGUCAAAUAUUUAAUUCGAAGAUUUUUUUUUU
RNAcentral lists this small RNA (80 nucleotides) under Arabidopsis thaliana (thale cress). RNAcentral describes it as "ATSL022000". The record is from RNAcentral. Lineage: Eukaryota; Viridiplantae; Streptophyta; Magnoliopsida; Brassicales; Brassicaceae.